Molecule: ribosomal RNA, 468 nt
Filed under: uncultured bacterium
Lineage: Bacteria
Description: partial 16S ribosomal RNA
Rfam family: Bacterial small subunit ribosomal RNA
Source: RNAcentral
GACGAACGCUGGCGGCGUGCUUAACACAUGCAAGUCGAACGGAAAGGCCCUGCUUUUGUGGGGUGCUCGAGUGGCGAACGGGUGAGUAACACGUGAGUAACCUGCCCUUGACUUUGGGAUAACUUCAGGAAACUGGGGCUAAUACCGGAUAGGAGCUCCUGCUGCAUGGUGGGGGUUGGAAAGUUUCGGCGGUUGGGGAUGGACUCGCGGCUUAUCAGCUUGUUGGUGGGGUAGUGGCUUACCAAGGCUUUGACGGGUAGCCGGCCUGAGAGGGUGACCGGCCACAUUGGGACUGAGAUAAGGCCCAGACUCCUACGGGAGGCAGCAGUGGAGAAUAUUGCAAAAUGGGCGGAAGCCUGAUGCAGCAACGCCGCGUGCGGGAUGACGGCCUUCGGGUUGUAAACCGCUUUCGCCUGUGACGAAGCGUGAGUGACGGUAAUGGGUAAAGAAGCACCGGCUAACUACGUG